UUGUAUAAAAAUCCAAGCUUGACAAUCAAAUUCAUUUUUAGUACAGUAUAUUUGUAUGUGUGGAUUUGUAUUAGUAAUUAGCUCCAUUGAGAAGGAUGCCCAAGGCUGCAUAUACAAUGCUUCCCUUUCCCACUUAAACAAAUUUACAGUUAAAUGUAGUUAAAGUAUUAGUAUGCUAUAUUAAGUCCAAAGAUUAUGAAUUCAACAACAGAGCAGAAGGUAUAGAGGUUGGAGAGAGGGGGAGUUGCGUUGGGGGCAGGAUGAGGUGGUGGUGGCGGUGGGAUGAUGUGGUGGUGGUGGCAAGAUGUGGUGGUUAGGGUUUCAGGGUUAGGAAAUUGAGGAAGAUGAUGUUUAUAUGCUUUUUUUGUUCUAUUUAUUAAACAUUUAAAUAAAAGUAUGAAUUUACCAUAAUACUCUUAAGUGAAUAAAUUUAACAAAAAAAUUUAACCAGGUUAGUGAUAAAGGACGUACAGUGUAACGAGUUUUGCAAAUAAAGGAUUGUGACUAUAAUUAUUGAAGUUAAAGGUUAUCCGUUGCAAUCUGGUACAAACAUAAAGGACGAAAAGGGUAAUUUACCCUAUAAAAUAUUAACUUGUACAAUUUUAGGAUAGAACUUUCUUCUUUCUAGCUUGUUAUAACUCAACAGUCGUGCCCGAAAACAAUUACAUAUGUAGGCAGCAUCGAAAACAAUUACAUAUGUAGGCAGCAUCGGAUAUACGAACUUUUGGUGUAUUUACGUUUACUCAUGAAACAUAAAGGACGAAAAGUGCAAUUUAGCUUAAUUCAAACUAAAAACUACGUGUAUAUGAUGCAUCAUUUGUGUAUCAAUUAUUACCUUGUAAUUAUUACCUCGUAUAUUAUCAAUGUGAGUAAUGAGCUAUUAUGGUAAAUGAUUUGCAUACCUCAAUAUGGUAUAAAAGAAUUAGAUAAUUACAAAAUACACACUACAUAUUAACACGUUAACAUCUCCCUGCAAGAAAACGGUGAUGGACGAAUGCCAAGUUUGUCACAAAAGAAUUCAAUUUGAUGACGUGAGAAACUCUUUGUGAAAUUGUUUGUACUCUGGAGCUUGGUUGGAAUGAAGCAAGUAUACAAGUUUCCUGAGGCAACAAGUUCCCUGAUAGAAUGACAGUCAAGGUCAAUGUGUUUGGAUCAUUUGUUGGAGACCGAGUUUUGAGUGAGGAAGAUUACAUUUUUAUUAUCACAUAGGAGGGUUGGUUGAUUAGGAAAUAGAGCGCGAAGCUCACGGAGGAGAUGGGAAAUCCAUACAAAUUCAGCGGCGGUGCUAGCUAUAGUAAGGUCCUUAUACUGAAGAGCACCAAGAAGAGACGUAUACAUAGUAAGGUCCUUGUACGGGACCCUAUCUUUAACAAAGGGUGCAUUUGGAGAUAAUGAAGUGUAAGUGGGCUUGCUGUCAAGAAAGACAGCACGCUCCAGAAUAUCAUGGACAUAUUUAGUUUGGCUUAAAAACAACCCAUUAGGUGUGUAAACAACUUCAAGACCCAAAAAGUAGCUUAGUUUGCCGAGGUCUUUGAUAGCAAAUUCCUGAUAACCUGUAAGUAUUAGGUCAGCAACAUAGACUAAAAGGUACAUAGUGCAUCCGUGUUGUUUAAAGAUAAACAAGGAGGUGUCGACACGACUGUAGGCAAAUCCAUUAAAAGAAGAAAUGUACUCAACUAGUGAAACCAGGCCCAAGGUGCCUGUUUGAGACCAUAUAAAGCCUUGUUCAACCGACAUACAUGAUUAGUAAAUCGAGAGUCUGCAAAUCCAGGCGGUUAAUCCAUAAAUAUAGUCUCAUUGAUAUGGCUAUGCAAGAAGGCAUUGUUGACGUCCAACUGGUGCAGUUUCCAAUUGUUUAGGACAACAAUGAAUAAAAAACAAUGCGAAUUGUGGAGGCUUUAACAAUUAGACUAAACGUGUGAUGACAAUCUAACUCAGGGACUUGGCUAAAGCCCUGCGCAACAAGACGUGCCUUAUAGCGAUCAAUGCUGCCAUCGACUUUAUGUUUAAUCCGAAACAACCAUUUGGACCCCACAAUGUUCUGGUUAUUAGGCCUGGGAACUAUAGACCAAGUGUUGUUGUUGGAGAGGGCUAAUGGUGUGCAUUCGGUGUGAUAUAUUUUUAUUAAUAUCUUAAGCCCAUUUUACGCACUAGUCAAGUUUUAAUUUUAUAAAACACGAUAUUAUACUAACACUAAACACACAAUUGGGCAAGUGCACCCAUCGUGAGUGCAGUAUAGUGUUGGCAAGAUACCGAGGUCGUCCAAGGACACAAGAGCUUUUAGUACCAGUUUAUCCUCAAUGUCUAAUCGAUCUAAAUUUUUGGGAAAAAAGUUUU
RNAcentral lists this long non-coding RNA (2337 nucleotides) under Helianthus annuus (common sunflower). RNAcentral's name for it is "hypothetical non coding rna". Lineage: Eukaryota; Viridiplantae; Streptophyta; Magnoliopsida; Asterales; Asteraceae. The record is from RNAcentral.